GGCAAUGAGGCCUCCACCCAGAAUCAGUCCUACUUUGCCCCCAGAGCAGGUGCUAGGUGGAGGCUCAGUGUGACUUGAUUAAAGGAAGGACUUGAUUAAAGGGGUGGGGGGCCUUCUACAUUGCUUAAAACAGUAAGGCCCCAGUCACUCUUUAAGUGACUUAAGAGGUUAGUGUGCCUUACAGCCUCAGGGGCUGCCAAGAAAAUGUGAAGCAGCUGUGGCAGGCUGCCUGGGCCAGCUCUCCUCCUCCUGCCGUUGCUGCCCCCUCUGCUGCCAACAGGGGGGCAAACCAGUACACAGUCCCGACCUUGUUAGACCCCCUUCACCUGAGUCAGGCCAGGAGAGACAGCCACAGCAACACCAACCUGGAUGGCAAGAGCAUCCGCCAUGGCCACAGCCAGGAAACAGGGUCCAGGAAGAGGCGGGCAAAUGACAAGAAAUCCUAUCAGAGCAAUCUUGACCUCUACUUGAUCUUGGAAAUAAAAGAAACAGAAGACGGUCUCAACAAACUGCAGAAUACAGUGCCUACAGGCAACACAAACAUGCAGGAGGGAUUUAAAAUGGUACAGACAGCUAGAGCUCGAAGAAUCUAUCCUGCUUUAACAAAUUCUCAGAAUAUCAUUGAGUCAUCUCAACAUGCCUUCUUGCUUUUGCAGAAAAGAAGGUUCACUCCAUGGUUAUCUCCCUAACUGAUGGAGCAAUGUCACCAAUUUGAGGCUACUAAGAACAAAAUAAAAAAGCCACUGAGGUAGAAGUUACUGGGCUAAUGUGACCAGGAGUGCAGAUAGAGGAACCAGCCAAGCUUCAAGGCAUCCUCCUGACCCUCCGUCUUGGUGCUCCCCUGAUGAGCUUAGUGAUCUGCUGUGCUACAGCCCCUGCUGAGGACAGGACAUGCCAGAUAAGCUGCCCAGAGAGGGGCCUCUACUGCCAGCAGCCUCCAGAGUGGAGCCAACACAAUCGAGAUCACUAUUGAAGUGAGCCUGAGCAACCGUGCCAGCUUCAUCAGCAACGGCUCAAGAUCACUAGUGAGGACUGUGGGAGUCACAGGGUAGGUAUAUGGUCUCCCUUGGGGCUGCCCAGAAGCCUGCACUGGAGAGGAGGCAAGAGAGAGGACCAGUGCCCAGGACAGGCCCAGCAAAUAGCAGGUACAGAUGGGCACAGGGCAGCAUCUCCCAGCAACAGAUGCCCUUAGGUCUUCAUCGGAGUUGGGAAGUGCCUGGGAGGGCUUCUAGGAGCCCUGUGGUGCAGUCAUCUUAGCAUGACUUAGAUGCCCUCUGUUCUCUGAACGAUGCCAUUGAGGGCACGUAAAGAGACAAAUGAGAGACCCAAGCAGAUUCCAGAAAUAGUGUUGAGGCUAAAUACCACCUUGCCAGCACCCCCUCCCCUGGUCUGUGGUGGGGAGUUUGGGCUACCAUCUUAACUCCAGUUGGGGCCAGAGGGGUUGCUAGGAGGUUGUGUGCAAGGAACCAGACUCCAGGACAUCUGGAGGACAUCUUCCCACCAAGCAGGCUCUAGGCACAGGGAUAUGGAGGGAAGAACAGCUGGGGCCCUGCACAGUCAUGGUGUGUUUCCUCUGCUCUCGUGUCCAACUGCUGGCCCAGUUGUGUGGCCAUCACAGCCCCUGGCUGUCAGUUUGCAGAUGUCUUCAGACUCCUUUCCUCUUUCCUCCUUUCCCACACUCCUCAGCCAUUCCUGGCUGCAACUCUCUCUCUGCAAGAAGUCUCUCUUCUCUGCUGGUGGGGAAGCUAUCAGGGUCCUGGGAAGGAACAGGACUCAGCUCAGCAAGGGGCCCCUGGGAAGGAAGGUGAUAGGCCCCUUUCCAUGCUCCACAGCAUCCAGGCAACUUAGCCCUGGGCAGCAGGACAUGGCCAGUGGUGAACAUCUGGCACAGAAGAGGUGUGCCAGGGAGCAGAGAUGCGUUGUCUGAUGGCCAGAGCCCUGUGUUUUGUACCUGCUUGUGAGGGUGCACACUAUGCUCACAUCUCCUCUGCGUGUAUCUGCGUUGUGUCUAGACAUCUGCUCAGAUCAGCUAGAGUUCUCACACCAGCCCAUCAGGAGUCCCACCAAGACACAGCUCGUCUGUCAUCAGGCCCAUGAGGAAAGCUCUCAGGAGAGCCUCAAGGGCCCUGGCAGGGCAGAUGAGCAGUCCUGACCUUGCCGUUCUCUCUGCCACCCUGUUCCCUGGGCAGUGGUCCCCUACCCCUUCCCCUCUCCUGUGCUCCGCAGCAGAGACUGUGCGCUGUCCCACCCUGAGGGCAACUUGUCCUUGGCUGGGAAUGACGGCCAGAGCAAGCCACCUUCCUCAGCCCCCAUAAGGGCCUGACCUGUGCCAGGACUUUGAUAACCCUCCGCACCUCAUGAGCACCUCUCAUCUCCUGCUCACAUGUGGACACAGAGGCGCAUAGAGAUUGAGGAGCUCUGCCCACAGCUGCAGAGCCUACAUGUGAGGGAGCCCGUCAUGUGCAAUGGCUAUGGGUCUGCUCUGCUCUUAUAACCCCCACCUCUCAGGGGGUCCCACCAUUCCCUCAGACACCUAUCUUUGUAUCUGUACAAUUCUGACAGGGCCUGGAUCCUCCUCCCUGCCUUCCCUGGUGUGCCUCACAAAUGCAGGCCUCCUCCCUUUCUUCUAGCUCUGCCCAGGUACCAUGUGGGCACCUCAUGUUCCCCUCCAAGCCACCACAUGCCUCCUCAAACCUUUGUACUUUAACUCCAGUAGGAGGUCCUGGCUUGGCCUGCAAAAGAUAUUAAUUUGUUGGGGCCUCCCUGGUGGCACAGGUGGUUGA
Molecule: long non-coding RNA, 2783 nt
Organism: Talpa occidentalis (Iberian mole)
Lineage: Eukaryota; Metazoa; Chordata; Mammalia; Eulipotyphla; Talpidae
Exons: 6
Source: RefSeq, a predicted model, not a curated record